RNAcentral lists this ribosomal RNA (1180 nucleotides) under uncultured bacterium. Its description in RNAcentral is "bacterial SSU rRNA". It matches the Rfam family "Bacterial small subunit ribosomal RNA", at positions 53 to 1320 of the family's 1533-position model. The record is from RNAcentral.
ACAUGCAAGUCGAACGAAGUAGCAAUACUUAGUGGCAGACGGGUGAGUAACAUGUAGGUAUCUUCCCUUUGGUGAGGAAUAACACGAGGAAACUUGUGCUAAUACCUCAUAAGUCUUUACGGAGAAAGCUUUAUGCGCCGAAGGAUGAGCCUGCACUUGAUUAGUUUGUUGGUGGGGUAAUGGCCUACCAAGACUUUGAUCUAUAGCUGAUCUGAGAGGAUGAUCAGCCACAUUGGGACUGAGACACGGCCCAAACUCCUACGGGAGGCAGCAGUAGGGAAUAUUGCACAAUGGAGGAAACUCUGAUGCAGCGAUGCCGCGUGAGUGAAGAAGGCCUUUGGGUUGUAAAGCUCUUUCGUCGGGGAAGAAAAUGACUGUACCCGAAUAAGAAGGUCCGGCUAACUUCGUGCCAGCAGCCGCGGUAAUACGAAGGGACCUAGCGUAGUUCGGAAUUACUGGGCUUAAAGAGUUCGUAGGUGGUUAAAAAAGUUGGUGGUGAAAUCCCAGAGCUUAACUCUGGAACUGCCAUCAAAACUUUUUAGCUAGAGUAUGACAGAGGAAAGCAGAAUUUCUAGUGUAGAGGUGAAAUUCGUAGAUAUUAGAAAGAAUACCAAUUGCGAAGGCAGCUUUCUGGAUCAUUACUGACGCUGAGGAACGAAAGCAUGGGUAGCGAAGAGGAUUAGAUACCCUCGUAGUCCAUGCCGUAAACGAUGUGUGUUAGACGUUGGAAAUUUAUUUUCAGUGUCGCAGCGAAAGCGUUAAACACACCGCCUGGGGAGUACGACCGCAAGGUUAAAACUCAAAUGAAUUGACGGGGACCCGCACAAGUAGUGGAGCAUGUGGUUAAUUCGAAGAUACGCGCAGAACCUUACCAACACUUGACAUGUUCGUCGCGACUCUAGAGAUUAGAGUUUUCGGUUCGGCCGGACGAAACACAGGUGCUGCAUGCUGUCGUCAGCUCGUGUCGUGAGAUGUGGUAGUCCCGCACGAGCGCACCACGGUUUUAGUGCAGCAUUUAGUGGACACUCUAGAAGACGCGGUGAUAACGAGAGGUGUGAUGACGUCAGUCAUCAUGCCCCUACCCCUGGCUUACCACGUACUACAUGCUACGAAAAGGCGCAAUCGGGGAGCUAGCAAUUCAUACCGUGCUCAGUUCGAUCGUAGGGUGAGCUCGCCUCAG